ACGGAAGGCAGCAGUGGGGAAUAUUGCACAAUGGGCGAAAGCCUGAUGCAGCGACGCCGCGUGAGUGAAGAAGUAUCUCGGUAUGUAAAGCUCUAUCAGCAGGGAAGAAAAUGACGGUACCUGACUAAGAAGCCCCGGCUAACUACGUGCCAGCAGCCGCGGUAAUACGUAGGGGGCAAGCGUUAUCCGGAUUUACUGGGUGUAAAGGGAGCGUAGACGGUUUGGCAAGUCUGAAGUGAAAUGCGGGGGCUCAACUCCUGAACUGCUUUGGAAACUGUCGAACUAGAGUGCAGGAGAGGUAAGUGGAAUUCCUAGUGUAGCGGUGAAAUGCGUAGAUAUUAGGAGGAACACCAGUGGCGAAGGCGGCUUACUGGACUGUAACUGACGUUGAGGCCCGAAAGCGUGGGGAGCAAACAGGAUUAGAUACCCUGGUA
This 434-nucleotide ribosomal RNA is filed under the name uncultured Lachnospiraceae bacterium. Its description in RNAcentral is "partial 16S ribosomal RNA". It matches the Rfam family "Bacterial small subunit ribosomal RNA", at positions 341 to 792 of the family's 1533-position model. Lineage: Bacteria; Bacillati; Bacillota; Clostridia; Lachnospirales; Lachnospiraceae. The record is from RNAcentral.